CUUUCUUUCCCUGCCUCUUGUCAAGGAUGCUUCCUCACUCUGCCUGGGCAGCCGAUAAUGCAGUGAGCAGGGGAGAGGACAGAGACAGAACACUGCAGAUUUAAUCGAGCUUUGCCUCUUAUUAUUACACGGUCCUGGGCAAUUUAUGUAAUCUUGCUGAGCCUCAGUUUCCUGUCCUAUAAUGGGGAUCAAGCUUCACCUGCAGGGUCAUUCUGAGAGAGAAAUACAAUGAAAGUUGUUAAGAAUGUGGAAGAGUUAAUGAGUAUUCACAUGUUGGAUCUGAGCUGUUCUGACAAUGGUGAAGACACCUGGGAGAGGAAUGCCAGGGAAUGCUGAUCUUCAGAAAACAGGUAGGAGGACAGAGAAGCCCAAAAC
RNAcentral lists this long non-coding RNA (375 nucleotides) under Heterocephalus glaber (naked mole-rat). RNAcentral's name for it is "lncRNA (ENSHGLG00100044873.1)". The record is from RNAcentral. Lineage: Eukaryota; Metazoa; Chordata; Mammalia; Rodentia; Bathyergidae.